GUAAAAGUCGUAACAAUGUCUCCGUAGGUGAACCUGCGGAGGGAUCAUU
RNAcentral lists this ribosomal RNA (49 nucleotides) under Zymoseptoria verkleyi. RNAcentral's name for it is "partial 18S ribosomal RNA". It matches the Rfam family "Eukaryotic small subunit ribosomal RNA", at positions 1782 to 1830 of the family's 1831-position model. Lineage: Eukaryota; Fungi; Ascomycota; Dothideomycetes; Mycosphaerellales; Mycosphaerellaceae. The record is from RNAcentral.